RNAcentral lists this ribosomal RNA (253 nucleotides) under uncultured bacterium. RNAcentral's name for it is "partial 16S ribosomal RNA". It matches the Rfam family "Bacterial small subunit ribosomal RNA", at positions 524 to 776 of the family's 1533-position model. The record is from RNAcentral.
UACAGAGGGGGCAAGCGUUGUUCGGAAUUACUGGGCGUAAAGGGCGCGUAGGCGGCCCGCUAAGUCGAACGUGAAAUCCCCAGGCUCAACCUGGGAACUGCGUCCGAUACUGGCAGGCUUGAAUCCGGGAGAGGGAUGUGGAAUUCCAGGUGUAGCGGUGAAAUGCGCAGAUAUCAGGAGGAACACCGAUGGCGAAGGCAGCUCGCUGGGACGGUACUGACGCUGAGGAGCGAAAGCAUGGGGAGCGAACAGG